GCAUCCUUAGCUCAGAUGGAUAGAGCAGCAACCUUCUAAGUUGAUGGUGGUAGGUUCAAAUCCUACAGGGUGUA
This 74-nucleotide transfer RNA is filed under the name Trebouxia aggregata. RNAcentral's name for it is "tRNA-Arg". It matches the Rfam family "tRNA". Rfam says of the family: Transfer RNA (tRNA) molecules are approximately 80 nucleotides in length. Their secondary structure includes four short double-helical elements and three loops (D, anti-codon, and T loops). RNAcentral also lists the same sequence under 2 other names. The record is from RNAcentral. Lineage: Eukaryota; Viridiplantae; Chlorophyta; Trebouxiophyceae; Trebouxiales; Trebouxiaceae.